GACGAACGCUGGCGGCGUGCUUAACACAUGCAAGUCGAACGGAAAGGCCCUGCUUGCAGGGUACUCGAGUGGCGAACGGGUAAGUAACACGUGGGUGAUCUGCCCUGCACUUCGGGAUAAGCCUGGGAAACUGGGUCUAAUACCGGAUAGGAGCCAUUUUUAGUGUGAUGGUUGGAAAGUUUUUUCGGUGUAGGAUGAGCUCGCGGCCUAUCAGCUUGUUGGUGGGGUAAUGGCCUACCAAGGCGGCGACGGGUAGCCGGCCUGAGUGGGUGGACGGCCACAUUGGGACUGAGGUACGGCCCAGACUCCUACGGGAGGCAGCAGUGGGGAAUAUUGCACAAUCGGCGCAAGCCUGAUGCAGCGACUCCGCGUGGGGGAUGACGGCCUUCGGGUUGUAAACUCCUUUCGCUAGGGACGAAGCAUUUUGUGACGGUACCUAGAUAAGAAGCACCGGCUAACUACGUG
RNAcentral lists this ribosomal RNA (465 nucleotides) under uncultured bacterium. RNAcentral describes it as "partial 16S ribosomal RNA". It matches the Rfam family "Bacterial small subunit ribosomal RNA", at positions 28 to 507 of the family's 1533-position model. The record is from RNAcentral.